CAGCUCCAAUAGCGUAUAUUAAAAUUGUUGCAGUUAAAAAGCUCGUAGUUGAAUUUCUGCUAAAAAUAACCGGUCUGCUUUUAAUAAAGGUGGUAUCUUGGUGUGUUUUUAGCAAUAAUGUCCUUUGAAAUGUUUUUUACUUCAUUGUAAUAAAUUAUAUUCAGGAUUUUUACUUUGAGAAAAUUAGAGUGUUUCUAGCAGGCUAACGCUUUGAAUACUGCAGCAUGGAAUAAUAAAAUAGGAUUUUGGUUCUACAUUAUUGGUUUUAAGAGCUAAAUUAAUGAUUGAUAGGGACAGUUGGGGGCAUUUGUAUUUAACUGUCAGAGGUGAAAUUCUU
This 337-nucleotide ribosomal RNA is filed under the name Hepatozoon felis. RNAcentral describes it as "partial 18S ribosomal RNA". It matches the Rfam family "Eukaryotic small subunit ribosomal RNA", at positions 586 to 921 of the family's 1831-position model. The record is from RNAcentral. Lineage: Eukaryota; Apicomplexa; Hepatozoidae.